GUCGCAAUGCGAUCUCCUGCUUUUGAACAUCCGCCGCUUUUCGUUCUCUGUUAUGGCGACGUGCGAUAGUUACCUUGCGGUCAAAUUGCCGUGGGGCCGGCCUAUCUGUGCACUGUCAAUGGCUAGUAGCGAUCGAUCAUACGCUCGGAGUUGCGUUCUCUGGGAGCUUAGUCUCAUGCUCUGCGUACGAUAGUUUAAGUUUGGGGGAGCUUGUUGGCGGAAGAAGUAGGGUCGACCGUGUGAACUUGGGAGGUGUGCGAGCGAGAAUCAUGACGAGAUUCAAAUCUAUCUCGCCCCCCCUCUCUCUCUCUCUCUCUCUCUCUCUCUCUCUCUCUCAUUUCGAUGAGACGCAGAGUAGGUGAUGGAAAUAACUGCAGUGGUGGAACUAUCCUCUUUCUAAUGGAAUUGAGGGCAUCCCUUGUCUUUAAAUGUUCCUAGAAGUAUAUCAAAUUACAGAUAUUAGGAUCCCCUUAAUAAAUUCAUUGUUAUGCUUUAUCUGCGGUUAUCGUGAAUUGAAUUUGUCGAUUAGACCGAGGGAAUUAGAUUGUUCACUGUGCACGUAAGGCUGAGGUUUUAAUAGGAAUAUAUAGCUGAAUAUACAUAUGAUUGUCCUCUUUCUAUUUGAGUGGGAUAUGCUUUGUUAAAACUGGUUUUUAAGCUUGCGCUCUUUUGCUCCGAUGCCUAGUGCAGUUGGGUUUAUGUUGAUCAACGGUGAUGCAGGUAAUGUGAACUUUGACAUAUGCAUCCACAUUGUUGAACUGUGCCUUGGGCUUGAUAAAUAUGACCUCAGUUCAUAAGCCACCGAGUGAUAGCACACUCCGCGUUUCCGGCAUUUUGGGCCAGGAAGUAUGUGAGAGCUACUUGCUUUUUCCUGGUGAAACAGCCCUUGGAGAUGCCUUCCGAGCCUUCAUCUAUUUCCUCGGUCUUGCUUACUGCUUUAUUGGAUUAUCAGCUAUCACCGCAAGGUUUUUCCGUUCUAUGGAGAAUGUUGUGAAGCAGACACGUGAGGUGGUAGAGAUAGAUCCCCAUACGAAUUCAAAGGUGGUUAGACAAGAAAAGGUGUGGAAUUACACUAUUGCAGACAUUACUCUACUGGCUUUUGGAACUAGCUUCCCUCAAAUAUCUUUAGCUACUAUUGAUGCUCUAAGAAACCUGGGGGACGUCUAUGCUGGAGAUUUGGGUCCUGGAACGCUUGUAGGCUCUGCUGCAUUUGACCUAUUUCCUAUUCAUGCUGUCUGUGUCUUGGUUCCUAAAGCUGGUGAAUUGAAGAAGAUAUCAGAUCUUGGCGUUUGGGUAGUGGAGCUCUUUUGGUCUUUCUGGGCUUAUUUUUGGCUGUACAUAAUUUUGAAGGUUUGGACUCCUGACAUUGUCACACUUUGGGAGGCACUUUUGACUGUGCUGCAGUUCGGGUUACUACUGGUACAUGCAUAUGCUCAAGACAAGCGCUGGUCCUACUUAUAUCUUCCUUUAGCAAGGGGCGAGAGGCCAGAGGACUGGGUGCCAGAAGAGGCUACUUCAAAUAAACAUGCGGACAAUGUUGAUGAUGAGCACUCCGAGAUAAUUCUAAUUGGUGAAAAUAAUGAAAGGAGUAUUGUGGACAUCUUUUCCAUCCAUUCUGGAAGUGGAACAGGUCCAAUUUAUCACCAUGUACCUGGCAGUGAUUUAGCCGAAACCUCUGAUGAACAUCAUGUGCUUUCACUUUGGAAGGAACAGUUUGUUGAUGCGCUGAUGUUGGAGAGCGCUGAGACGAAGAAGUCUGACAGCAUAUAUGUGCGGGCUUUGCGAAUGUUGUGGCAGUCACUUCUUGCACCUUGGAGGCUCAUGUUUGCUUUAGUUCCUCCUUGCCAAAUUGCUCAUGGCUGGAUUGCUUUCAUUUGCUCUUUAACCUUUAUCAGUGGAAUAGCUUAUGUGGUGACCAAACUCACAGAUCUAAUUAGCUGCGUGACAGGGAUAAAUGCUUAUGUCAUAGCAUUUACAGCGCUGGCUACUGGAACGUCAUGGCCAGACUUAGUUGCUAGUAAGAUUGCUGCUGAAAGGCAGACAACAGCUGAUUCUGCCAUUGCAAACAUCACUUGCAGUAAUUCAGUGAACAUAUAUGUGGGCAUAGGCGUCCCAUGGCUAAUUGACACCGCAUACAACUUCAUCGUGUAUCGGGAACCUUUGAGAAUCCAGAAUGCAGCCGGACUUAGCUUCUCAUUGCUCGUGUUCUUUUGUACGUCUGUGGGGUGUAUAUCAGUUCUCGUGCUUCGGCGUCUCACGUUGGGUGCGGAAUUGGGAGGGCCAAAGCCUUGGGCUUGGCUAACCAGUAUUUACUUCAUGUUGCUCUGGGUCAUCUUUGUGGUGCUUUCCUCUCUCAAAGUUUCUGGCAUCAUAUAGGAAGGAUUUAUUCCGGUAUUUGUUGGAGCAUAGACCUUGGAUUUCAUUCUGGCCCUCAUAACCCCUUACCAUCAGGUGGUUUGCCCCGGGCCUCGGACAUGGACGCUUCCAUUGUUGAGGCAGAUCCUCAAAAGCCUUCUCCUAUCGCAGCUGUGAGUUUGUGCACCCACAGAGAAAGAAAGAAGCGACUCCAGAUUGACCUGUAAAAGGAUGAUCCAAGGCCGUCAGUAGUUGCAGACAUUUCAUGAUCUCCAGCCAAUCUACAAAUGCCACAUUUAACUGGGAUUGCUCGUGGGACAUAUCGGGCAUUCCCCAUCCAACAAGCGUUGUCCAGUUAGCAAACUAAGGCAUCCAGUUCGUACUUGAGUUGAGAGAGCAGCGACUGGAAUUCACUCACUGCCUCAGCAUCACUUGAGAUAAUAUGAAGCAAAACGUCUCGGGAAAAACAAAAUCAAGGCUGGAGGAUAACCGGAGUAGAAGCCUGAGCUUAAAGCCAACCGAGAUCUACGGUUGGUUCAGAACAGGAAGGGCGGGAUGCGAUCUGACUAUAUUCAGCACACCUUUUGCAGUCGCCUGUCAAUGAAGGGAAGUAGUUAUAGCUCCUGUGAACAUCCUAGGCCCAAAACUAUUGGGUGUUUCUCAUGAAAAUAUUACCUCAAAGAAGGAAUUGAAAUUCAGCCGUAAAAGAAAACGCCUGAGAAAUGGAGCCCGUUGACUUCCAGCAA
RNA transcript from Syzygium oleosum, 3101 nucleotides. It is a transcript of the gene named magnesium/proton exchanger, with no coding region annotated. The transcript is spliced from 10 exons. NCBI's taxonomy places the organism in Eukaryota, Viridiplantae, Streptophyta, Magnoliopsida, Myrtales, Myrtaceae. The record is from RefSeq and is a predicted model, not a curated record.